RNAcentral lists this transfer RNA (92 nucleotides) under Streptomyces lanatus. Its description in RNAcentral is "tRNA-Ala". Lineage: Bacteria; Bacillati; Actinomycetota; Actinomycetes; Kitasatosporales; Streptomycetaceae. The record is from RNAcentral.
CAGGUGCUGGGCGACGGCGGCCACACCGGAGUGCGCCGGGUCGACGGUCCACGGCCCCGGCGGCGGCAGUUCGGUGCCGCCCUGCCUGGCCA